Molecule: non-coding RNA, 45 nt
Organism: Schistosoma rodhaini
Lineage: Eukaryota; Metazoa; Platyhelminthes; Trematoda; Strigeidida; Schistosomatidae
Source: Rfam
AUCCAACUGAUGAGUGCUAAAUAUGACGAAACGCGCGUCGUGGAU